UACGGGGGGAGCAAGCGUUGUUCGGAUUUACUGGGCGUAAAGGGCGCGUAGGCGGCCAGCACAAGUCAGUUGUGAAAUCUCCGAGCUUAACCCGGAAAGGUCAACUGAUACUGUGCGGCUAGAGUGCGGAAGGGGCAACUGGAAUUCUUGGUGUAGCGGUGAAAUGCGUAGAUAUCAAGAGGAACACCUGCGGCGAAGGCGGGUUGCUGGGCCGACACUGACGCUGAGGCGCGAAAGCCAGGGGAGCGAACGGG
RNAcentral lists this ribosomal RNA (254 nucleotides) under uncultured bacterium. RNAcentral describes it as "partial 16S ribosomal RNA". It matches the Rfam family "Bacterial small subunit ribosomal RNA", at positions 524 to 776 of the family's 1533-position model. The record is from RNAcentral.